AUACGGAGGGUGCAAGCGUUACUCGGAAUCACUGGGCGUAAAGAGCGUGUAGGCGGGUUAAUAAGUUGGAAGUGAAAUCCUAUGGCUCAACCAUAGAACUGCUUUCAAAACUGUUGACCCAGAAUAUGGGAGAGGUAGAUGGAAUUUCUGGUGUAGGGGUAAAAUCCGUAGAGAUCAGAAGGAAUACCGAUUGCGAAGGCGAUCUACUGGAACAUUAUUGACGCUGAGACGCGAAAGCGUGGGGAGCAAACAGGAUUAGAAACCCCAGUAGUCC
This 274-nucleotide ribosomal RNA is filed under the name uncultured bacterium. Its description in RNAcentral is "partial 16S ribosomal RNA". It matches the Rfam family "Bacterial small subunit ribosomal RNA", at positions 523 to 796 of the family's 1533-position model. The record is from RNAcentral.